This 254-nucleotide ribosomal RNA is filed under the name uncultured bacterium. Its description in RNAcentral is "partial 16S ribosomal RNA". It matches the Rfam family "Bacterial small subunit ribosomal RNA", at positions 524 to 776 of the family's 1533-position model. The record is from RNAcentral.
UACGUAGGGUGCAAGCGUUAUCCGGAAUUAUUGGGCGUAAAGAGCUCGUAGGCGGUUUGUCGCGUCUGCUGUGAAAACUCGAGGCUCAACCUCGAGCUGUCGGUGGAAACCGUGUGGCUAGAGUCCGGAAGAGGAGAGUGGAAUUCCCGGUGUAGCGGUGAAAUGCGCAGAUAUCGGGAAGAACACCCGUGGCGAAGGCGGCUCUCUGGGACGGUACUGGACGCUGAGACGCGAAAGCGUGGGGAGCGAACAGG